RNAcentral lists this unclassified non-coding RNA (542 nucleotides) under Hevea brasiliensis (rubber tree). Lineage: Eukaryota; Viridiplantae; Streptophyta; Magnoliopsida; Malpighiales; Euphorbiaceae. The record is from RNAcentral.
UACAACAGAAUAACUGCUCCUAACAACCUACCCAACUUUAUUUCCCUCAUUUUUAUAUUUAUUCCUUCAGACUUGCCAACUUGACUCAUCUAUUGGUUCUGCUUUCUAUGAAUAAAUUAUUCUAGCAGUCACUUAACUUUUGAGGAUUAUUUCAUUUCAAUCACACAAUUUUAAUUUGUUAAAAAUAAUAUUACUCAACUUUAUUUUAUAUUCAAAAAAGUCACUUUGACCUGUUAUAGUAAGUUUCCUAAUUGCCAAAAUGAAAUUACCAUUUUACCCCCUCUCUUCCUUUUCUUUCUCCAUUUAUCUGAUUUAUCUUUCUGUUUGAAUCAAUAUAAAAAUUAAUAAAAAGUUAAAACUAACCACCAAAAUACUAGCUACUUUUAAAAAAUAACAAUUUUGCUGAAUAAGAUUAUGAAAAUUUUUAAAUAUUAAAUUAAAAAUCAUUGAUUAAUUUGAUUAAAAACUUUGACGUUUAAUAUUUAAUUGUGUUUAUUUGUUGGUUGCUGCUUCUGCCCCAAUGAAGCCUUCAUAUGGGCCCG